GGCUCAAGGCUGUGAGCACCAUGGCCUGGACUCCUCUGCUCCUCGUGCUCCUCUCUCACUGCACAGGGUCCCUCUCCCAGCCUGUGCUGACUCAGCCGCCCUCCCUCUCUGCAUCUCCGGGAGCCACAGCCAUACUCACCUGCACCCUGAGCAGUGGCUACAAUAUUGGCAGCUACCAUAUACGCUGGUUCCAGCAGAAUCCAGGGAGCCCGCCCAGAUUUCUCCUGAGAUAUAAGUCGGACUCAGAUAAGUACCACGUUUCUGGGGUCCCCAAGCGCUUCUCUGGAUCCAAAGACACGUCGGCCAACGUGGGGUUUCUGCUCAUCUCGGGGCUGCAGCCUGAGGACGAGGCUGACUAUUACUGCAAUGCAGAUCAUGGCAGUGGGAGCAGCUUUAGUCACGCACAGCGUCUCAGAUGA
Myotis daubentonii (Daubenton's bat) is the source of this 419-nucleotide non-coding RNA. The record is from the annotation of a RefSeq genome assembly. NCBI's taxonomy places the organism in Eukaryota, Metazoa, Chordata, Mammalia, Chiroptera, Vespertilionidae.